CCCGCUGAACUUAAGCAUAUCACUAAGCGGAGGAAAAGAAAUUAACUAAGAUUGCCUCAGUAACGGCGAGUGAAGCGGCAAAAGCCCAAACUGGAAAUCUUCACCCUUCGGGUGACGAAUUGUAAUCUAGAGGGUGGUAGCUCACCUAGCAGUGGCGCAGAAGUGCCUUAGAACGGGCCGCCAGAGAGGGUGACAGCCCCGUAUGUGGUGCCAUUGCUUAACGAGCUCCAUUCUAAGAGUCGGGUUGUUUUGAAUUGCAGCCCUAAUCUGGGAGAUAGACUUCUUCUAAGGCUAAAUAUAUAUGGGAAACCGAUAGCGAACAAGUACUGUGAAGGAAAGAUGAAAAGAACUUUGAAAAGAGAGUCAAAAGACUUGAAAUCGUUGAGAAGGAAGCGGUAGAAAUUUAUUCUUCUGCUGAGAAUGAUGGUGUUCGGCUCGCGUAUCAGGAUUUGCCAGCACUUCAAAGGCUGCUUGUUUUGCGUGCGUGACUGAUAGCUGGAUUCUUAGUAGUGAGUCAAAAUGGGGCUUCGCUCCUACAAAAGCUUGGCCAACUUGGGAGGCUUCGGUCUUCAGUUUACCUUUGCUAGUAGGCGCGGUGCCCGAGGAUGCUUUGUGCGAUUUUGACAAAAUGGUUUUUACCGACCCGUCUUGAAACACGG
RNAcentral lists this ribosomal RNA (659 nucleotides) under uncultured fungus. RNAcentral's name for it is "eukaryotic LSU rRNA". It matches the Rfam family "Eukaryotic large subunit ribosomal RNA", at positions 24 to 664 of the family's 3401-position model. Lineage: Eukaryota; Fungi. The record is from RNAcentral.